CUUUGUCUUCUUAGAGAGUCAAGGCUGGGGGGCUGUCAAGAGACAAGAAGCCCAUUGCAACACUAUCUGUGUGAUUUUGGGCUAUACAAAAAUAAAUUGUAUUGUCAACAGUUUACUGUAUGUCAGUAUUUUAUAUUUGUCUUUGAUUAAUUUUUUUACCCCUUGUAUUAGGGCCAUCCAAGUCAGAUAAAUAGCCAUGACUGUGGAAUUCCCAUGUUGAUGGUGUGACCAUUUCAUAUUGUAACUAUCUUUCUGUGUAUGUCUGUAUUUAAUGUUGUGUCCAGGUUUCCAAAGGAUCAUUUUGUGGUGUCUCUGUAUUUCAUCCUCAAACCCCCCUUCACUUUUAAUGAGCAUACUGUCCCAAGUGGUUUAGAUGUUCCAGAAACGCCUACCUUUCAAAAUCCAGAUAUUUUAAAUUCCUCUUUAGAAUGACAUGCCGGCUUUGAGGAAGUGCUGGUGUAGAAUGUUACUUGAGAACUCCAGCCCAAGG
This is a long non-coding RNA of Polypterus senegalus (gray bichir), 490 nucleotides long. RefSeq lists it as uncharacterized. The record is from RefSeq and is a predicted model, not a curated record. The transcript is spliced from 3 exons. Lineage: Eukaryota; Metazoa; Chordata; Cladistia; Polypteriformes; Polypteridae.